RNAcentral lists this ribosomal RNA (291 nucleotides) under uncultured microorganism. Its description in RNAcentral is "partial 16S ribosomal RNA". It matches the Rfam family "Bacterial small subunit ribosomal RNA", at positions 505 to 796 of the family's 1533-position model. The record is from RNAcentral.
GUGCCAGCAGCCGCGGUAAUACAGAGGGUGCAAGCGUUAAUCGGAUUUACUGGGCGUAAAGCGCGCGUAGGUGGCCAAUUAAGUCAAAUGUGAAAUCCCCGAGCUUAACUUGGGAAUUGCAUUCGAUACUGGUUGGCUANAGUAUGGGAGAGGAUGGUAGAAUUCCAGGUGUACCGGUGAAAUGCGUAGAGAUCUGGAGGAAUACGAUGGCGACAGCAGCCAUCUGGCCUAAUACUGACACUGAGGUGCGAAAGCAUGGGGAGCANACAGGAUUAGAUACCCUGGUAGUCC